Molecule: long non-coding RNA, 2680 nt
Organism: Paramacrobiotus metropolitanus
Lineage: Eukaryota; Metazoa; Tardigrada; Eutardigrada; Parachela; Macrobiotidae
Exons: 8
Source: RefSeq, a predicted model, not a curated record
UAAGCACUGGCUUGAAGGUAUGGAAACUUCGUAACAAAACAGACUUUACACUGUACUGAUUUGAGUUUGCAUGUGUCGAGAAAUUAUUCUUCCAAACUUUAUGUACCUCUGCAGCCUCACAAGACUCACAACAGUUUCGCGCAUAUUGUCUUGCGAGGUCGAGUGCUGGUUCGAAAAAUAAUAUUAUACUCUCUGGAAUCCGAGUUCGCAUAGGAUCGACGAAAUAACCAUCGAGGAGAGAUCCAUGGAGGAAAUCUCAAGUCCCCAUUGAGCCGUUUCGGUUAUGAUCCGCCUAAUUGUAUUCCAUCCUAUCGGCUCUCCAAAUGGAAAUACUCGUAUGUGAACAGGUAAAGCCUCGGAAAAAAUGCGGAGCAAUAUGUUUCCAUGUAGGCAUAUUCUAACAGCACAUAAUCGGAGGAAUGACAAGCGUACGGACGAACUUACCACCAGUCCUUGUAGCAACGAGAAACCGUUAGCCCCAUAAUAUUGGGAUGUUACGGUGGCAGAUGCCGCGCGCAAAAUCAGGUGGGCCAGACAUCACGUGCUUCAGGAAUGCCGUUAUGGACUUGCGAACUGAUACGUGGUGCCUCGCAUUUGUCCUCAUCCCAGCAGAAGUCGCAUCGAUACAGUCGGGCAUCAGUGCCGUCCAUCAGCGCCACCAUACAUUGUCCUAUAGUGGCAGAAAAAUCGAAAAUUUACAAGUAUAUUUUCCUCAACAGAAUUUUUGACAAAGAUGGUAACACGAAGCCGAUUAUCGUGUCAUUGUUAAGUACACUCUUAAUUUACUGGUGCGUGCUGAUGCGACAUAAUUCCAUGAGAUGUGUAUCUGUUUUAGCACGUCAAUGGCACAUCGAAACAUGAUUGUUACAUUAGUGCAAAGAAAUCCAGAACCUCCACGCAAAAUUCAAUCUAAUAACGGACAACGUGAAGAUGGAUGGUCAGAGGUGAAGGAAGGCCAACGUUGGGAAAACCAGCCGAACCUCGGGGACGUUGAUUUCUGACAACCGGAAUGCAGAGAAUCGGUGCAUCCCGACUGAUCGGUAAUCAAGUAACCGAGCAUCACCCUGCAGAAUCGGAGCGGCGGACUACACGACAGCUGAUAAAUACCAAAGAACAGCUACACUGUUUAUAGCAGGAAGAUGGCGUAAUGUUACCUUUCUGUCUGAUAUAAGCAUUGCGGCUUUGCCAUUUCGACGGAAAUUAGGAUGAGGAGGAACCUUUGGCAAUGAAGAGUCCUGGGAAUGCUUCAAGGCAAUUCGGAGAGUUUCAAAGAACGGGCACAAGAGGGAUUACGCAGGCAAGUGAAUGUCAUUAACUACUUCUCCCAUCAAAUGCCUUCCUGUGUGAACCGGGUCAUACUGGAGCGGAUGUUUACCGAGACAACUCGAAAGCGGAGUUUGUUUAUCCUUCGUAUGUCCAAGACAUCAAAGGAUAAUCUGACAAUUAUUUGCCCGAUUAUUAUGUGUGAUGCCAACUAGGAACGAAAUGGAUGCUGGGGCAUAUUUUCUUUGGAAUUUCGUCCAUUUCGAUGUGUGUGUACAUCCUGUACUGCAGGAUAUAGCGGUGACUGAUGCCACUGCUACAACAGCGUUGGCCACUCUUAUGGAAGAGAACGUUCUUAAUGCCGCCUGCUACUGCUGUUCAGUACAAAGACAGUUCGAGGUGGAUUCAUGGUCCGCAUAAUUACCGCCUGGUGGCUCGCUCACAAGCGCGCAAAUUAUAAGCUGACGCUGGAUUACGUGAUUCUAUAAGUCCCAAGACGAAUUCUCCACGACCAGACAUCUUUCGUCGAAAUGUCACGAAGGUGAACCGUCUCAAAGCAAGAUGUGCCAGACUGAAGUGUCCCAGCGUCCGUACGCCGCGGCAAAAUGUCUUCGCGGCGAAAAGUGGCACGUUAAAUCUGAGUGCGGAGCAAUGUCCUACUGCCAGUUGUCCUUGUUCAUCACGAUGUGCCCGGAACCGACAGUUCUUUCCGGCAGACAUACAGUAGUACGACAGAUCAGCCUUUACCACCGACAAGGCAGUGCAGAAUGUUAUUGGAGAUUCUUUGCGUGGAGCGAUAGGGGUCGCACUGCAUAAUGGAGGUGGCGUUGGGUGGGGCGAAGUGGUAAGCGAUUGAUUUGGAGCUUGUCUUGGAUGGAGUAGAAUUGGGGGAGAAACAAGCCCGGACCGUACCACACUGGGACGUAAUGGCAAGACAUCGUUCGUGGGCUGGAAAUGCGAAUGCGCAGGACACUACAAAUAUGGCGUGUCAGGCGAGAUAUGCGACAAAAUCCGAUACUACCAGUACCAGUAACCUUUCCGGCACCCCUUAGUGACGAUGUCAGGAUGAAGUUGGAAUGGCGAAAGAGCUGGAUUCCGUAAGCCGGCGAAUGUCCUGCCUGGACUCGGACAGAUUAUUACUGUAUUAGUAUUCCGGGUUUGUUUUCGAUAACACUGCGCCCUUUUUUUGCCAUGAAUAACCUGACCGGUGAGCAUACACCGGUGUUAAUUCAGACAGUGUAGUUCCUUUACUCAACGUGAUGGGCCAUGGAUGAGUUUCUGGCACUAAAGCGUUAAUCAGAGCCACUUUCUCAGGCUCACGCUGGAUACAUGCUUGAUAACUAGCCGGGAAUAAUACGAAAUUUGAAAGAGCUACUAAAAAUGAAAUGCUCCCAGUUGGCCCUGAGAUCUGCACCGU